GCGAGUGAAGCGGCAACAGCUCAAAUUUGAAAUCCGGCCCCCGCCCCGGGGGCCCGAGUUGUAAUUUGCAGAGGGUGCUUUCGGCGCGGCGCCUUCCGAGUUCCCUGGAACGGGACGCCACAGAGGGUGAGAGCCCCGUACGGUCGGACGCCCAGCCGGCGUAAAGCCCCUUCGACGAGUCGAGUAGUUUGGGAAUGCUGCUCAAAACGGGAGGUAUAUGUCUUCUAAAGCUAAAUACCGGCCAGAGACCGAUAGCGCACAAGUAGAGUGAUCGAAAGAUGAAAAGCACUUUGGAAAGAGGGUUAAACAGUACGUGAAAUUGUUGAAAGGGAAGCGCUCGCGACCAGACGCGGGCCCGCGGUCGGCGUCGGCGGUCCCGCCGGCGCGCCCCGCGGGCCCGGGCCAGCAUCAGCUCGCCGCGGGGGACAAAGGCGCCGGGAACGUGGCUCCCCACGGGGAGUGUUAUAGCCCGGCGCGCAAUGCCCCGCGCGCGGGCUGAGGCACGCGCUCCGCAAGGAUGCUGGCGUAAUGGUCGCCAGCGACCCGUCUUGAAACACGGACCAAGGAGUCGUCCUCGUAUGCGAGUGUUCGGGUGUCAAGCCCCUACGCGCAAUGAAAGUGAACGCAGGUGAGAGCCUCGGCGCAUCAUCGACCGAUCCCGAUGUUCUCGGACGGAUUUGAAUUAGAACAUACCGGGCC
RNAcentral lists this ribosomal RNA (699 nucleotides) under Ophiocordyceps sp. Ophbla2098. RNAcentral's name for it is "eukaryotic LSU rRNA". It matches the Rfam family "Eukaryotic large subunit ribosomal RNA", at positions 89 to 811 of the family's 3401-position model. The record is from RNAcentral. Lineage: Eukaryota; Fungi; Ascomycota; Sordariomycetes; Hypocreales; Ophiocordycipitaceae.